AGUGAACGCUGGCGGUAGGCCUAACACAUGCAAGUCGAACGGCAGCACAGUAAGAGCUUGCUCUUACGGGUGGCGAGUGGCGGACGGGUGAGGAAUACAUCGGAAUCUACUUUUUCGUGGGGGAUAACGUAGGGAAACUUACGCUAAUACCGCAUACGACCUACGGGUGAAAGCAGGGGAUCUUCGGACCUUGCGCGAUUGAAUGAGCCGAUGUCGGAUUAGCUAGUUGGCGGGGUAAAGGCCCACCAAGGCGACGAUCCGUAGCUGGUCUGAGAGGAUGAUCAGCCACACUGGAACUGAGACACGGUCCAGACUCCUACGGGGGGCAGCAGUGGGGAAUAUUGGACAAGGGGCGCAAGCCUGAUCCAGCCAUACCGCGUGGGUGAAGAAGGCCUUCGGGUUGUAAAGCCCUUUUGUUGGGAAAGAAAAGCAGCAGGUUAAUACCCCGCUGUUCUGACGGUACCCAAAGAAUAAGCACCGGCUAACUUCG
This 490-nucleotide ribosomal RNA is filed under the name uncultured bacterium. Its description in RNAcentral is "partial 16S ribosomal RNA". It matches the Rfam family "Bacterial small subunit ribosomal RNA", at positions 29 to 505 of the family's 1533-position model. The record is from RNAcentral.